CAGUCGCCGCGGUAAUACAGAGGGUGCGAGCGUUAAUCGGAUUUACUGGGCGUAAAGCGUGCGUAGGCGGCUUCUUAAGUCGGAUGUGAAAUCCCUGAGCUUAACUUAGGAAUUGCAUUCGAUACUGGGAAGCUAGAGUAUGGGAGAGGAUGGUAGAAUUCCAGGUGUAGCGGUGAAAUGCGUAGAGAUCUGGAGGAAUACCGAUGGCGAAGGCAGCCAUCUGGCCUGAUACUGACGCUGAGGUACGAAAGCAUGGGGAGCAAACAGGAUUAGAGACCCGUGUAGUCCCUGUCUCUUAUAC
This 301-nucleotide ribosomal RNA is filed under the name uncultured bacterium. Its description in RNAcentral is "partial 16S ribosomal RNA". It matches the Rfam family "Bacterial small subunit ribosomal RNA", at positions 509 to 807 of the family's 1533-position model. The record is from RNAcentral.